Molecule: small RNA, 750 nt
Filed under: Pan troglodytes (chimpanzee)
Lineage: Eukaryota; Metazoa; Chordata; Mammalia; Primates; Hominidae
Description: processed transcript
Source: RNAcentral
CAGCCCCGGAGCCCGGGCCAGGGUCCACCUGUCCCCGCAGCGCCGGCUCGCGCCCUCCUGCCGCAGCCACCGAGCCGCCGUCUAGCGCCCCGACCUCGCCACCAUGAGAGCCCUGCUGGCGCGCCUGCUUCUCUGCGUCCUGGUCGUGAGCGACUCCAAACGAACUGUGACUGUCUAAAUGGAGGAACAUGUGUGUCCAACAAGUACUUCUCCAACAUUCACUGGUGCAACUGCCCAAAGAAAUUCGGAGGGCAGCACUGUGAAAUAGAUAAGUCAAAAACCUGCUAUGAGGGGAAUGGUCACUUUUACCGAGGAAAGGCCAGCACUGACACCAUGGGCCGGCCCUGCCUGGCCUGGAACUCUGCCACUGUCCUUCAGCAAACAUACCAUGCCCACAGAUCUGAUGCUCUUCAGCUGGGCCUGGGGAAACAUAAUUACUGCAGGAACCCAGACAACCGGAGGCGACCCUGGUGCUAUGUGCAGGUGGGCCUAAAGCCGCUUGUCCAAGAGUGCAUGGUGCAUGACUGCGCAGAUGGAAAAAAGCCCUCCUCUCCUCCAGAAGAAUUAAAAUUUCAGUGUGGCCAAAAGACUCUGAGGCCCCGCUUUAAGAUUAUUGGGGGAGAAUUCACCACCAUCGAGAACCAGCCCUGGUUUGCGGCCAUCUACAGGAGGCACCGGGGGGGCUCUGUCACCUACCUGUGUGGAGGCAGCCUCAUCAGCCCUUGCUGGGUGAUCAGCGCCACACACUGC